RNAcentral lists this long non-coding RNA (443 nucleotides) under Nicotiana benthamiana. Its description in RNAcentral is "long non-coding RNA (NBEN_LNC016824)". Lineage: Eukaryota; Viridiplantae; Streptophyta; Magnoliopsida; Solanales; Solanaceae. The record is from RNAcentral.
GUAUGAUAUCAAAUAUACGGAGAAUCCAUGGACAAGACCAUACUCAAAAAUCUAAAAAAGAGGUUGACCGAUGCGAAAGGUAAAUGGAAGGAAAUCUUACCCAAAGUUGUCACACCUCCUUUUUUCUACACCUUGGGAGUGGUAUAAAUAAGUUUUUCUAAUUUAAGUGACAAUCAAAACGGAAUUAUUUAAUUAAAAUUCAAAGUCACCACUUGGAUAGUUUAUGGUGUCCCAAGUCACAGGUUUUAAAUCAAAUCGAGGAAAGAUUAACUCUGUUUUACAGUCUGCGAACACAGAAAUUCAGGUAAGGAAUUCUGCUAAUCCGGAAAAAGGUGUUAGGCAUUCCCGGGUUCCGUAGUUCUAGCACGGUCGCUCAACUGUUAUUAUUGGCCUAUUUUUUAGCCUAUGGAGCAAUUUUAAACUUUAUAACCACUUUUAUUUAA